AUUGAACGCUGGCGGAAUGCUUUACACAUGCAAGUUGAACGGCAGCACGGACUUCGGUCUGGUGGCGAGUGGCGAACGGGUGAGUAAUGUAUCGGAACGUGCCCAGUCGUGGGGGAUAACGUAGUGAAAAUUACGCUAAUACCGCAUACGAUCUAUGGAUGAAAGCGGGGGAUCGCAAGACCUCGCGCGAUUGGAGCGGCCGAUAUCAGAUUAGGUAGUUGGUAGGGUAAAGGCCCACCAAGCCAACGAUCUGUAGCUGGUCUGAGAGGACGACCAGCAACACUGGAACUGAGACACGGUCCAGACUCCUACGGGAGUCAGAAGUGGGGAAUUUUGGACAAUGGGCGAAAGCCUGAUCCAGCCAUUCCGCGUGCAGGAUGAAGGCCCGCGGGUUGUAAACUGCUUUUGUACAGAACGAAAAGGUUUCUACUAAUACUAGGAGCUCAUGACGGUACUGUAAGAAUAAGCACCGGCUAACUACGUGCCAGCAGCCGCCGUAA
This 500-nucleotide ribosomal RNA is filed under the name uncultured bacterium. RNAcentral's name for it is "partial 16S ribosomal RNA". It matches the Rfam family "Bacterial small subunit ribosomal RNA", at positions 30 to 523 of the family's 1533-position model. The record is from RNAcentral.